Molecule: transfer RNA, 77 nt
Filed under: Chloroflexota bacterium
Lineage: Bacteria; Bacillati; Chloroflexota
Description: Chloroflexi bacterium tRNA-Val
Rfam family: tRNA
About the family: Transfer RNA (tRNA) molecules are approximately 80 nucleotides in length. Their secondary structure includes four short double-helical elements and three loops (D, anti-codon, and T loops). Further hydrogen bonds mediate the characteristic L-shaped molecular structure. tRNAs have two regions of fundamental functional importance: the anti-codon, which is responsible for specific mRNA codon recognition, and the 3' end, to which the tRNAs corresponding amino acid is attached (by aminoacyl-tRNA synthetases). tRNAs cope with the degeneracy of the genetic code in two manners: having more than one tRNA (with a specific anti-codon) for a particular amino acid; and 'wobble' base-pairing, i.e. permitting non-standard base-pairing at the 3rd anti-codon position.
Source: RNAcentral
GGGCGCUUAGCUCAGCUGGUCAGAGCGCUUCGUUUACACCGAAGAGGUCGGGGGUUCGAGUCCCUCAGCGCCCACAA